RNAcentral lists this ribosomal RNA (468 nucleotides) under uncultured bacterium. Its description in RNAcentral is "partial 16S ribosomal RNA". It matches the Rfam family "Bacterial small subunit ribosomal RNA", at positions 28 to 507 of the family's 1533-position model. The record is from RNAcentral.
GACGAACGCUGGCGGCGUGCUUAACACAUGCAAGUCGAACGGAAAGGCCCUGCUUUUGUGGGGUGCUCGAGUGGCGAACGGGUGAGUAACACGUGAGUAACCUGCCCUUGACUUUGGGAUAACUUCAGGAAACUGGGGCUAAUACCGGAUAGGAGCUCCUGCUGCAUGGUGGGGGUUGGAAAGUUUCGGCGGUUGGGGAUGGACUCGCGGCUUAUCAGCUUGUUGGUGGGGUAGUGGCUUACCAAGGCUUUGACGGGUAGCCGGCCUGAGAGGGUGACCGGCAACAUUGGGACUGAGAUACGGACCAGACUACUACGGGAGGCAGCAGUGGGGAAUAUUGCACAAUGGGCGGAAGCCUGAUGCAGCAACGCCGCGUGCGGGAUGACGGCCUUCGGGGUGUAAACCGCUUUCGCCUGUGACGAAGCGUGAGUGACGGUAAUGGGUAAAGAAGCACCGGCUAACUACGUG